RNAcentral lists this unclassified non-coding RNA (345 nucleotides) under soil metagenome. RNAcentral's name for it is "partial contains 5.8S ribosomal RNA, internal transcribed spacer 2, and large subunit ribosomal RNA". The stretch from base 1 to 120 matches the Rfam family "5.8S ribosomal RNA", at positions 35 to 154 of the family's 154-position model. The record is from RNAcentral.
GAUGAAGAACGUAGUGAAAUGCGAAACGUAAUGUGAAUUGCAGAAUUCAGUGAAUCAUCGAGUCUUUGAACGCACAUUGCGCCCCCUGGUAUUCCGGGGGGCAUGCCUGUCCGAGCGUCAUUGCUGCCCUCAAGCACGGCUUGUGUGUUGGGCCUCCGUCCUCCUCCCGGGGGACGGGCCCGAAAGGCAGCGGCGGCACCGCGUCCGGUCCUCGAGCGUAUGGGGCUUCGUCACCCGCUCUUGUAGGCCCGGCCGGCGCUUGCCGACACAUCAAUCUUUUUUCCAGGUUGACCUCGGAUCAGGUAGGGAUACCCGCUGAACUUAAGCAUAUCAAUAAGCGGAGGA